Molecule: ribosomal RNA, 301 nt
Filed under: uncultured bacterium
Lineage: Bacteria
Description: partial 16S ribosomal RNA
Rfam family: Bacterial small subunit ribosomal RNA
Source: RNAcentral
CAGUCGCCACGGUAAUCCGUAGGUCCCGAGCGUUGUCCGGAUUUAUUGGGCGUAAAGCGAGCGCAGGCGGUUAGAUAAGUCUGAAGUUAAAGGCUGUGGCUUAACCAUAGUACGCUUUGGAAACUGUUUAACUUGAGUGCAGAAGGGGAGAGUGGAAUUCCAUGUGUAGCGGUGAAAUGCGUAGAUAUAUGGAGGAACACCGGUGGCGAAAGCGGCUCUCUGGUCUGUAACUGACGCUGAGGCUCGAAAGCGUGGGGAGCGAACAGGAUUAGAUACCCCCGUAGUCCUGUCUCUUAUACAC